Molecule: ribosomal RNA, 119 nt
Organism: Danio rerio (zebrafish)
Lineage: Eukaryota; Metazoa; Chordata; Actinopteri; Cypriniformes; Danionidae
Source: Ensembl
GUUUACGGCCAUACCACCCUCACUGUGCCUGAUCUUGUCUGAUCUCAGAAGCUAAGUGGUGUUUUGCCUGGUUAGUACUUGGAUGGAAGACUGCCUGGGAAUGCCAGGUGCUGUGUGUA